Molecule: long non-coding RNA, 1038 nt
Filed under: Solanum lycopersicum (tomato)
Lineage: Eukaryota; Viridiplantae; Streptophyta; Magnoliopsida; Solanales; Solanaceae
Description: long non-coding RNA (SLYC_LNC001386)
Source: RNAcentral
AGGAAUUCAACGAUAUAAAAAAUAAUUUAAGCAUUGUUUAAGUGAUCCCCACAGCCACAAUAUACAACUUCCAACUUGUUCCAAAUUUAUACUUGGGCCAUGAAUUUGGUUGUGUUGGGCUUCUUCUGUUCAUUAAAAGAUGGGCAGGGCCUAUCUAAUGUCUCAUCCUACAGUACAAGUACCCAUUCUUCAUCAUAAAGAUUUCCCUUACACUGUCUAGUAUAUCAUGGUAGACAAAAAUGUCUAUCACCUGCUCACAUAAAAGUGUACUCUUUCUAACAACGCAGACAAAAGUUUUAAGAUCGAAUCUCACGGCUAUAAUGUACAUGUUUUUUUUGUGCCAAUCCAAUUGAUCGGGCCUAACACAAACACAUGCCUGGGCCUCUCAACACAGAAUAGAGAAACAAUCCAGACCAACAAUAACACUUGCUUGAUUGUUUCUGCUUAAUGGCUGUAUCCUUAUCGAAUUAUAGUAAGCCAUGGUUAUCCUUCUACUCUGCACAACGCCUACAUGAGAAUUAAAUGUAGAAUUUAACAUUUAUCUUUUACAUUGAAUCUUUCUUUUUGGUCAGCUCUUUGCUGAAAGGAUCAAGAGUGGCACAUACAACAAGACACUCCAUUCAUUUCAAUUGCCGCAUUUUCUGCAGCAAAGCAAAUGAUCAUUCAUCAAUCAUCCCUCCAACUAAUCCUGCAUUUGUAGUAAUGUCCACCGCUCAACAACUAAAUCACAUUAACUCUACUCAAUCAUCCUUCAAAAAACACAAGCUUAACCUUGAUAUGCCAAAAUUUAGACUCCGGUCAAGUUCACAUUCCAUUGAUACUUGUGAUGCAUUAAUUUACUGUUGCCCAGUUGUUGCAUGGGGCGCAUUUAACAUAUUAUGUGCCACUAACAAAUUUGAUUUCCUCAAUAAGUGUAUAAAUCUGUAUAUAUAUGUGAACAUAUAUGCAUGAUAUGAUUAUGAAAACAUUGUAUGGAAAAUGAAGGAUACUUACUGAAUAGUUCGAGAUGAAAAUUAACAUUGUUAUUCUGAGUUUGAU